GACGAACGCUGGCGGCGUGCUUAACACAUGCCAGUCGAACGGAAAGGCCCUGCUUUUGUGGGGUGCUCGAGUGGCGAACGGGUGAGUAACACGUGAGUAACCUGCCCUUGACUUUGGGAUAACUUCAGGAAACUGGGGCUAAUACCGGAUAGGAGCUCCUGCUGCAUGGUGGGGGUUGGAAAGUUUCGGCGGUUGGGGAUGGACUCGCGGCUUAUCAGCUUGUUGGUGGGGUAGUGGCUUACCAAGGCUUUGACGGGUAGCCGGCCUGAGAGGGUGACCGGCCACAUUGGGACUGAGAUACGGCCCAGACUCCUACGGGAGGCAGCAGUGGGGAGUAUUGCACAAUGGGCGGAAGCCUGAUGCAGCAACGCCGCGUGCGGGAUGACGGCCUUCGGGUUGUAAACCGCUUUCGCCUGUGACGAAGCGUGAGUGACGGUAAUGGGUAAAGAAGCACCGGCUAACUACGUG
Molecule: ribosomal RNA, 468 nt
Filed under: uncultured bacterium
Lineage: Bacteria
Description: partial 16S ribosomal RNA
Rfam family: Bacterial small subunit ribosomal RNA
Source: RNAcentral